CUUCUUAUUGGUUUGAUUUACAACACCGGCCACAUUUGUAGGGGAACCGAGAUGGUGCACAUUUGGAACCGAGCGCGGAGGAGAUAGUAUUGGAAGAGCCUCAAGGGUAGAACGGGGGGAAUAACGAGACAUUACUGUUAAGUCAGAGGUUUCAUGACGAGAUGGUGGGCCAAUCACACUCUCGGCCGCUAACUUUCCCUUGGAGUUUUGUGAGCUUGGAAGCAUGGAAGACUGAUCAAAUUUACUUGAAUAUUGUUUACUUGGG
This 265-nucleotide unclassified non-coding RNA is filed under the name Hevea brasiliensis (rubber tree). Lineage: Eukaryota; Viridiplantae; Streptophyta; Magnoliopsida; Malpighiales; Euphorbiaceae. The record is from RNAcentral.